GCCUGGAAUCACUUCUCAGACUCAGUUUCAUCCUCCGAAUCGAAAUCAUCCACCUCAAACGAGCCGGAGCUGCCCUCCAUUUCGCUUUCGAUGCUUCGCUUCGAUCUGCAUAUCCAAGAUUCAAGAUCGGUUAAGAAUAUCACCGAGGGCGAAAGGCGACAAGAAAUCUAAAGAUCAGUAAACGGGGAAGUGUGUCAGAUUAUUUUUAAAAACAGAGGGCACUUAGGAACGUUUCAAUUAGCUCAUGACCUGCAUCCGAGAUGAUCCGAGUCGAUGGGGCCCACUGGCUGUGUAAACACAUGUUCUUGCAACUGAUUUACAAAUUUACGAUUACUGUCGAAUUUUUGUAAGUUUUGUUUUCGUUUUGGCCAGCUUUUGAACGCCAGUUUUAUUGCAACAGCCACCAAGUGGAACAAAAGGAAUUCAAUGGCACAUUGAGGUGGAAAAGAAAAAGGAAAAACCGAAAAAGAAUGGAAUCUCGAAUUGCAUUUGUUUAGUCAUGCGCGAAAUAAUGGAACAGCUUGGUAAAACACUAUAUACAUAUAUAUCAAAU
This is a non-coding RNA of Drosophila melanogaster (fruit fly), 553 nucleotides long. NCBI's taxonomy places the organism in Eukaryota, Metazoa, Arthropoda, Insecta, Diptera, Drosophilidae. The record is from Ensembl.